RNAcentral lists this unclassified non-coding RNA (209 nucleotides) under soil metagenome. Its description in RNAcentral is "partial contains 5.8S ribosomal RNA, internal transcribed spacer 2, and large subunit ribosomal RNA". The record is from RNAcentral.
AACCUUAUGGACCUGCGGGCGUAUACCUGCGGAGGGAUCAUUACAAAAAAGCUUUUGGCGGUUUCGGCCCCAAAGUUACAUCCUGUUUACGCGUAUCAUCAGUUGCUCCUUCGGCGGUCUUCCGCCGGAGGAUGCCCAACAAAACCCUUUUGCAAUAGCCGUAACGUCGAGAUAUAACCUAAUAUAUCACAACUUUCAACAACGGAUCU